RNAcentral lists this unclassified non-coding RNA (378 nucleotides) under plant metagenome. Its description in RNAcentral is "partial contains 5.8S ribosomal RNA, internal transcribed spacer 2, and large subunit ribosomal RNA". The stretch from base 1 to 105 matches the Rfam family "5.8S ribosomal RNA", at positions 50 to 154 of the family's 154-position model. The record is from RNAcentral.
GAAAUGCGAUAAGUAAUGUGAAUUGCAGAAUUCAGUGAAUCAUCGAAUCUUUGAACGCACCUUGCGCUCCUUGGUAUUCCUUGGAGCAUGCCUGUUUGAGUAUCAUGAAAUCUUCAAAGUAAAUAUUUUGUUAACUCAAUAGGUUUCUACUUUGGUAUUGGAGGUCUUUGCAGCUUCACACCUGCUCCUCUUUGUUCAUUAGCUGGAUCUCAGUGUUAUGCUUGGUUCCACUCGGCGUGAUAAGUUAUCUAUCGCUGAGGACACUGUAAAAGGUGGCCAAGGUAAAUGCAGAUGAACCGCUUCUAAUAGUCCAUUGACUUGGACAAUACUUUUAUGAUCUGAUCUCAAAUCAGGUAGGACUACCCGCUGAACUUAAGC